CCUACGGGAGGCAGCAGUGGGGAAUAUUGCACAAUGGGGGAAACCCUGAUGCAGCGACGCCGCGUGAGUGAAGAAGUAUUUCGGUAUGUAAAGCCCUAUCAGCAGGGAAGAAAAUGACGGUAUCUGAUUAAGAAGCACCGGCUAACUAGGGUCCAGCAGCUGCGGUAUUACGUAGGGGGUAAGAGUUAUCUGGAUUUACCGGGUGCAAAGGGAGAGUAGACGGUGAUGCAAGUCAGAAGUGAAAGCCCGGGGCUCAACUCCGGGACUGCUUUGGAAACAAUGGGACUGGAGUGCAGGAGAGGUAGGCGGAAUUCCUGGUGUAGCGGUGAAAUGCGGAGAUAUCAGGAGGAACACCAGUGGCGAAGGCGGCUUACUGGACUGUGACUGACGUUGAGGCUCGAAAGCGUGGGGAGCAAACAGGAUUAGAUACCCUUGUAGUC
Molecule: ribosomal RNA, 440 nt
Filed under: uncultured bacterium
Lineage: Bacteria
Description: partial 16S ribosomal RNA
Rfam family: Bacterial small subunit ribosomal RNA
Source: RNAcentral